This 253-nucleotide ribosomal RNA is filed under the name uncultured bacterium. RNAcentral describes it as "partial 16S ribosomal RNA". It matches the Rfam family "Bacterial small subunit ribosomal RNA", at positions 524 to 776 of the family's 1533-position model. The record is from RNAcentral.
UACAGAGGUCCCAAGCGUUGUUCGGAUUCACUGGGCGUAAAGGGUGCGUAGGUGGUCGGGUAAGUCUGACGUGAAAUCUCCGAGCCUAACUCGGAAACUGCGUCGGAUACUAUUCGGCUGGAGGGUUGGAGGGGGGACUGGAAUGCUUGGUGUAGCAGUGAAAUGCGUAGACAUCAAGCGGAACACCAGUGGCGAAGGCGAGUCCCUGGACAACUCCUGACACUGAGGCACGAAAGCUAGGGGAGCAAACAGG